CCCUUAGAUGUUCUGGGCCGCACGCGCGCUACACUGACGAAUGCAACGAGCUUAUAACCUUGGCCGAAAGGUCUGGGUAAUCUCCAAAUUUCGUCGUGAUGGGGAUAGAUUAUUGCAAUUAUUAAUCUUCAACGAGGAAUGCCUAGUAAACGCAAGUCAUCAGCUUGCGUUGAUUACGUCCCUGCCCUUUGUACACACCGCCCGUCGCUCCUACCGAUUGAAUGGUCCGGUGAAGCGUUCGGACCGUGGCCUUUGGACGGUUCGCCGUCUGUUGGCUGCGGGAAGUUCGUUAAACCUUAUCAUUUAGAGGAAGGAGAANUCGUAACA
This 327-nucleotide ribosomal RNA is filed under the name uncultured eukaryote. Its description in RNAcentral is "partial 18S ribosomal RNA". It matches the Rfam family "Eukaryotic small subunit ribosomal RNA", at positions 1470 to 1796 of the family's 1831-position model. The record is from RNAcentral.